RNAcentral lists this non-coding RNA (28 nucleotides) under Homo sapiens (human). Lineage: Eukaryota; Metazoa; Chordata; Mammalia; Primates; Hominidae. The record is from RNAcentral.
UGGGGAUACAUUCGCAGUGCCACACCUC